UGGUAGUAGCAAUACAAACCAUAGGCGAACGGGUGAGGUAACACGUAGGUAACCUAGUCUUUAAGACGAGGAUAACCAUUGGAAACGAUGGAUAAUACUGGAUAGGACAUCACAAAGGGCAUCCUUAGAUGUUUAAAGAUUAUUAUGUCACUUAGAGAGGGGCCUGCGGCGCAUUAGCUAGUUGGUGAGGUAAGAGCCCACCAAGGCGGUGAUGCGUAGCCGGACUGAGAGGUUGAACGGCCACAAUGGAACUGAGAACGGUCCAUACUCCUACGGGAGGCAGCAGUAGGGAAUUUUCGGCAAUGGGCGCAAGCCUGACCGAGCAACGCCGCGUGAACGAAGAAGUUAUUCGUAAUGUAAAGUUCUUUUAUCUGGGAAGAAAAACAAAUUGACGGUACCAGAUGAAUAAGCUCCGGCUAACUACGUGCCAGCCGCCGC
This 438-nucleotide ribosomal RNA is filed under the name uncultured bacterium. Its description in RNAcentral is "bacterial SSU rRNA". It matches the Rfam family "Bacterial small subunit ribosomal RNA", at positions 68 to 518 of the family's 1533-position model. The record is from RNAcentral.